CAAAUUAGAGCUUGUGAAAGUUUUUCAUUUACAUUGAAAUGAUAUUAAUUUUAAAAUUAAUUAAUUUGA
Molecule: transfer RNA, 69 nt
Filed under: Idaea simplicior
Lineage: Eukaryota; Metazoa; Arthropoda; Insecta; Lepidoptera; Geometridae
Description: tRNA-Val
Source: RNAcentral